CCUACGGGGGACAGCAGUGGGGAAUAUUGCACAAUGGGGGAAACCCUGAUGCAGCGACGCCGCGUGAGUGAAGAAGUAAUUCGUUAUGUAAAGCUCUAUCAGCAGGGAAGAAAAUGACGGUACCUGAGUAAGAAGCCCCGGCUAACUACGUGCCAGCAGCCGCGGUAAGACGUAGGGGGCAAGCGUUAUCCGGAUUUACUGGGUGUAAAGGGAGCGUAGACGGCAGUGCAAGUCUGGAGUGAAAGGCGGGGGCUCAACCCCCGGACUGCUCUGGAAACUGUACGGCUGGAGUGCAGGAGAGGUAAGUGGAAUUCCUAGUGUAGCGGUGAAAUGCGUAGAUAGUAGGAGGAACACCAGGGGCGAAGGCGGCUUACUGGACUGUAACUGACGUUGAGGCUCGAAAGCGUGGGGAGCAAACAGGAUUAGAUACCCGAGUAGUC
RNAcentral lists this ribosomal RNA (440 nucleotides) under uncultured bacterium. RNAcentral describes it as "partial 16S ribosomal RNA". It matches the Rfam family "Bacterial small subunit ribosomal RNA", at positions 338 to 795 of the family's 1533-position model. The record is from RNAcentral.